Gopherus flavomarginatus (Mexican gopher tortoise) is the source of this 1211-nucleotide long non-coding RNA. RefSeq lists it as uncharacterized. The transcript has 3 exons. NCBI's taxonomy places the organism in Eukaryota, Metazoa, Chordata, Testudines, Testudinidae. The record is from RefSeq and is a predicted model, not a curated record.
CCCGAUUUAUCCAGUUAAACGUUCCGAGUGGAGCAGAACGCGGGGGUUUAACCCCCAGCCUCGGCAUUUCUUGAUAGACAUGUUCACAGCUGCAGGAAGUUAGCGGGAGGGGGGCAGACAACGAGCUGCUGAUAGAAAACCAGGGGGUCUCAACCUUCGUUGCAGUGCGGCUCCCCGUCUGACAACAAAAGCUACUCGGGGACAGGGGCGGGGGGGACAAACCCUGAACCCCACUGCCCCAUGCAGCCACACGUGGGCCAGGCUUCAGCCUCGGGUGGGGGGCCUGUAACCUGAGCCCCACCACCCUGAGCGGUGGGGCUUGGGCUUCAGCCCCAGGUCCCAGCAAAUCUAAUGCCAGCCCUGGUGACCCUGUUCAAAUGGAGUCACGGCCCAGGGUUUGAGAACUGCUGUAGUAGACUUUAGAUGAUUCAAAAAGUUUAAAAUUUACAACUGUUAAAUGAUCAAUGUCACGUCAAAAUAUACAAAGUAUGUAUCUUUAAAAUCAAGUAAGUUCUCGAGCAGCAUUUUUCUUUCUGUGCCUUCCCAUAGAUGAUGAUCAUCAAUAGCAAUAUUUUCUCUUGUGUUCGUAUGUGUACUGUGAAAUUGAUGUUUACCAACGUUCACCCAUAAAAACCAAAUCCUUCCAAGCCUACAUGUGGGGUUUGAUGGAGCAAGCCACAGGUAUACUUCAAGUAUUUCUGCAUGUGAAUAAGACCUUCCAAAUGAUAAUCAAGUGGUAAUUAUUGCCUUCCUGGAUCUAUAGAGAGCCCAAAACUGUAGCUCUGAAAUUGGAAUUACUCUGCUCAUUCAUUUAAUCUGAUGUUACCUGUAAAGCCUACAGAGAACAUCUUAAAUGUCAACAUUGAUAACUGUUUCGCUGCUCAAAUUAUCCUGCUAUUGUGAUCUCCUUUAGCCACGUAGAGCACCUACCUGUACAAGUGAGGCUAACAUGGUCCAGAGGAAUAAGCUAUGGGUGGACUGUCAAAUGCCUGAGUUUGAAUUCCGACCCUGCAACCAACUAGAGCUGUGUGGUCUUGAACAAGUUACCAUACCUGCCAGCCUCAGACUUCCUACUUCACAGGGCUGUUGUGAGGAUUAAUGUCUGUAAAGCACUAUGCAAGUGCUAGGUAUUGUAUCAGAGAGCUGGAUGGGAGUGUGACCAACCUGACUUCAUGCAAGACUGGGAAAUAUUUUUUGCAAACUAAAGCUUA